AAUAAGAAAUAUAGGAAUAAUAUUUAAGUUGACAUAAUACUUAUUCACUAAUUUUAGGAGAGUUCUUAACUGGAUGGAAUAAUUAUGAAGUCGAAACUUCAGAAAGAAAACCGAAGGUUUUAUGUAAAAGCCCAAUAUGUAUCAUGAAAUGGAUUCAACACACUGUAGACUACAAAAAAAAAUCUGAUGUAUCGGAAGAAAAAUUUUACAGUGGUUGGUAAUCUAAAUAUAAUCCUUGAAUAAAGCUUUCAUACAUCCUUU
Non-coding RNA from Parasteatoda tepidariorum (common house spider), 261 nucleotides. Lineage: Eukaryota; Metazoa; Arthropoda; Arachnida; Araneae; Theridiidae. The record is from RefSeq and is a predicted model, not a curated record.